AAGUAAUGAAGUAAAACUUUACAUUUAGUUUCGACCUAAAAUUAGGGUUAUCCCCUUACUUA
This 62-nucleotide transfer RNA is filed under the name Scantius aegyptius rossii. Its description in RNAcentral is "tRNA-Arg". The record is from RNAcentral. Lineage: Eukaryota; Metazoa; Arthropoda; Insecta; Hemiptera; Pyrrhocoridae.